GAGCGGAAAGGCCCUUCGGGGUACUCGAGCGGCGAACGGGUGAGUAACACGUGAGCAACCUGCCCUAGGCUUUGGGAUAACCCUCGGAAACGGGGGCUAAUACCGGAUACGACCUCCUGUCGCAUGGUGGGGGGUGGAAAGUUUUUCGGCCUGGGAUGGGCUCGCGGCCUAUCAGCUUGUUGGUGGGGUGAUGGCCUACCAAGGCGACGACGGGUAGCCGGCCUGAGAGGGCGACCGGCCACACUGGGACUGAGACACGGCCCAGACUCCUACGGGAGGCAGCAGUGGGGAAUAUUGCACAAUGGGCGGAAGCCUGAUGCAGCGACGCCGCGUGAGGGAUGACGGCCUUCGGGUUGUAAACCUCUUUCAGCAGGGACGAAGCGCAAGUGACGGUACCUGCAGAAGAAGCGCCGGCCAACUACGUGCCAGCAGCCGCGGUAAU
RNAcentral lists this ribosomal RNA (442 nucleotides) under uncultured bacterium. Its description in RNAcentral is "bacterial SSU rRNA". It matches the Rfam family "Bacterial small subunit ribosomal RNA", at positions 64 to 524 of the family's 1533-position model. The record is from RNAcentral.